UAAAGCCAGAUCAUUAUCCAUUUAUUAUUUUUUGCUUUUUCCAAUUAUUAUAAAAUUUUUCAACAUAAUAAAAAACUAUAUAAAAUGGGAUAAAAAAAAUGUUUUAUUUUUUAAAACUUUUAUUAUAUUCUUAUGUUAUAUGAUGAAAGAGCACAGCGAUUUGUUAAACGAAGAAACGAAAGAUGUAUAUUUUACUUUCAUAUUUAAUUAUUUAAUUAUAAUCGAAUUUGGUAUGAAUAGAGACAUAGAAAAAGAAGGUUAUGAUGAUGAUUACAAAAAUGAUUUGUUAGGACAUUCAAAUAAAAUUAGAUUAGAACAAAAUGGAGAUAAAAUGAUACAAAGCGAAAGUUAUAAUGUGCGUACUAAGAAAGAUAGUAAUGUGCAAACAAAAAAUAAGCAUCUGUUAAAUACUGAUAUUGUUGGUGGUGAUGAUAUAAAAAAAGGAAAUGAAAUAAAUAGCAAAAAUAGUGGCGAAAAUAAUAGCAAAAAUAAUGGCGAAAUAAAUAGCAAAAAUAAUGGCGAAAUAAAUAGCAAAAAUAAUGGAGAAAUAAAUAGCAAAAAUAAUAGAGAAAAGAAAAAAGAGAGCAUUUUUUUCAAAGUCCAACUAAAUUAUUUAAUAAAAUAUAUAAUAACAGCACAUAUAAAUGAAAAUAAUUUACACAGUAUUUUAGAAUUUUUAUCAGUCAUACAUAACACCAUAUUAGAUCGCGAGAAUGUAAACUUAGAAACGAAUACUUUGUGUGUAAUAUAUUCAUUAAAUGUGUUUAAAAAAGGAAAGAAUGAGAAAAAGGGAAAGGACGGGAAAAAGGGAACGAACGGGAAAAAGGGAACGAACGGGACAAAAAAAACGAACGGGACGAAGGGAAAGAAGAAAUGUAAGAAAAAGGAAAUGCUGAACGAAACUAUUUAUUAUGACCAGCUUUGGAAAUCCCUCUUAAACUGCUACAACACUUUAGAAAAAAUAAACGAUAGCGAAUUAAAAGAAAAAAUAAAAAUAUUAUUACAAAAAACUUUUUUACAAAAAAUG
RNAcentral lists this long non-coding RNA (1027 nucleotides) under Piliocolobus tephrosceles (Ugandan red Colobus). RNAcentral's name for it is "lncRNA (ENSPTEG00000006932.1)". The record is from RNAcentral. Lineage: Eukaryota; Metazoa; Chordata; Mammalia; Primates; Cercopithecidae.